AAUUUCGCAAUGACGAGGAAGAGUAGCAAGAAGGGGAAUCCACAGAGAGCCAUCGGUGGUGAGAGAUGGCGAGGAAGCUUUUGUGAAAAUCACCUCUGAGCUUUCGGACUGAAAAAUAGUACCUAUCUGCUGAUGAGCAUAGAAGCGCAGUAUCUAUUCGAGUAAGUUCGGACGGUUAACAGUCGUUAUCCUGUUUCUCAUUUUAUAGGAUGAGUAGUGAGUGGCUGCAUGGCAGCAAUAAGAGUGGUACCGCAGAGGAUUUUGCCUUUGUCUCUUAA
RNAcentral lists this non-coding RNA (278 nucleotides) under Ruminococcus sp. RNAcentral describes it as "T-box sequence". It matches the Rfam family "T-box leader". Rfam says of the family: Uncharged tRNA acts as the effector for transcription antitermination of genes in the T-box leader family. T-boxes are found upstream of many aminoacyl-tRNA synthetase genes and some amino acid biosynthetic genes usually in Gram-positive bacteria. The anticodon of a specific tRNA base pairs to a specifier sequence within the T-box motif, and the NCCA acceptor tail of the tRNA base pairs to a conserved bulge in the T-box antiterminator hairpin. Lineage: Bacteria; Bacillati; Bacillota; Clostridia; Eubacteriales; Oscillospiraceae. The record is from RNAcentral.